GAUGAAGAACGUAGCGAAAUGCGAUACGUAAUGUGAAUUGCAGAAUUCAGUGAAUCAUCGAAUCUUUGAACGCACAUUGCGCCCGCCAGUAUCCUGGCGGGCAUGCCUGUCUGAGCGUCAUUUCAACCCUCAUGCCCCUAGGGCGUGGUGUUGGGGAUCGGCCAAAGCCCGCGAGGGACGGCCGGCCCCUAAAUCUAGUGGCGGACCCGUCGUGGCCUCCUCUGCGAAGUAGUGAUAUUCCGCAUCGGAGAGCGAUGAGCCCCUGCCGUUAAACCCCCAACUUUCCAAGGUUGACCUCAGAUCAGGUAGGAAUACCCGCUGAACUUAAGCAUAUCAAUAAGCGGAGGA
Molecule: unclassified non-coding RNA, 348 nt
Filed under: soil metagenome
Description: partial contains 5.8S ribosomal RNA, internal transcribed spacer 2, and large subunit ribosomal RNA
Rfam family: 5.8S ribosomal RNA (bases 1-120)
Source: RNAcentral